AUGAAAGGGUUCCUACCUGUCAAGGCGGAGCUCGCAAGGAGACACAUUGGCGAGGAUGUGAUCUGUGCGUUGUGUGGACACGAGGACGAGACCUUGUUUCAUUCUUUGGUUACCUGCACCCAUGCACAAGUGUUCUGGGCAGAGGCUCUCAGGUUUUUUGGCUGUACCCUCCCUACGAUGCUACCUAUGACUUGGACAAGGGAUCUCCUCGACCCCAGCUUCAUUGCAAAGGAGGAUGCAGCCGUGGUAAUCUCGGUGAUGUGGGCAAUAUGGAGCGAUCGCAACAAGUAUACUCAUGGUGAGCGGCAGUACCAGCCGCUUAGGUCUAUGGAACUAAUUCAGGAGCACCUGAGAGCUCUGAAUAUACCAGCCAACGACACGGCCGUACAGCGGCGCAAAGAAAGGUGGAAACCCCCGGUAGAAGGUGUGGUGAAGCUAAACGUGGAUGCUGCAACUGAUGCUAUUGGAGGCAGAGCUGGGACGGCGGUAGUCGCAAGAAAUCACAAAGGAGAGUUUCUGGUAGGAAGGUAUGUCUCUUAUGAGGGGCUCACCGAUCCAUAUGUGUGCGAAGCAAUGGGAUGCAGAGAUGCCAUGUUGCUAGCCAUGGACAGAGGAUGGCCUAGAGUGGAGAACAUAUCAGACUGCAAACCAGUAGUAAAUGACUGGAACGCUGGGAUACACUGCUCGGUGAGUGGCCCUAUCUUCAGAGAGAUGUCUUCAUAUCUCUCGCUUUUUCAGGGGGUAGAGAUUCAGCACAAUGGAAGAGAAGCCAAUGAAGUAGCUCAUUUGUUGGCUAGGUAUGGUGUUACUGCUGUGAGGAGCAGUAUGACUUUUUUUUACUCCCCCUGUUUUCCUAAGUGCAGCUUUGCACUCGGACUGUGUACGGUCUAUUAA
Molecule: ribosomal RNA, 894 nt
Filed under: Triticum aestivum (bread wheat)
Lineage: Eukaryota; Viridiplantae; Streptophyta; Magnoliopsida; Poales; Poaceae
Description: partial small subunit ribosomal RNA
Source: RNAcentral